This is a small nuclear RNA of Microtus ochrogaster (prairie vole), 106 nucleotides long. NCBI's taxonomy places the organism in Eukaryota, Metazoa, Chordata, Mammalia, Rodentia, Cricetidae. The record is from Ensembl.
CUGCUCCCUUCAGCAGCACAUAAACAAAAACUGAAACCAUACAGAAAGAUUAACAUGGCCCACGUGCAAGGAUGACACCCAAAUUUCUGAAGCAUGCCAUAUUUUA